AGAGGAUGUACUAGGGACUCUAGCAGAUGCUGUGCUGGGCCUGGUGCCUCGUGGGUGCCAUUACAAUAGCGUACAGUAGAUAUUUGCAUCAGACACUGCUACCGGUGAGCGGGUGUUCAUGCUUCCCUGCCCCCCUCCUGGUAACUCCUCUGUUUUGCUCAGGGCAGCAAUGUACCCAGCUGGAAUAUUCACCUUGUCACAUGCUCAAGCUGCAGCGGUGUGUCCUGACCCAGAACUGACACCUACAGGGUGGGGCUUUGAGGUGAGUUAUUAUUUAUCUUUGUUUUUUUAAAAACAGAGUCAACUGGCACAUGCAUUUUGUCCUUUACCCUUUACUCUUCCCUCUUCCUGUCUUCCUAGAAGGCAGAUGUACAGACAGAGUAUCCAGUGGCCUGGAGGGUGAAUCUCCAUUUGUUAAGGAUGGUGGAGUAGAAAGAGCCAAGGAACUUGGUUCCUUAAGCAGCAACACCAGCCCAAUGAGGAAAAAACAAAGCCCUUACUUGCUUCAACCACUGUUUGUCUGGUUCCUAUUAGGGGAAGCCAAAUGCAAACUUGACCGUCUAUUCUAUAACCUCCUGAUUGUCCUCAAUGAAGCGAAUGGGCUCAGAUAGUUUAAGCAACUCGACCAAGACCACUUAGACCCUGGAGACUGGUUAUUCAAAGUCUGUGGUCCAUGGAUCCACAGCAUGAGCCUCACUUGCGAGCUUGGGCCUCACCAGAGACCUACCAAAUUAGCACCGCAUCUAACGUGAUUUCCAGCUGCUUCACGUGUGCAGUGAAGUUGGAGAAGUGUCGGUCUGGAUAAUGAGCAGAGCUAAGAUUUGAUCCAUGUCUAUUUGACUUCAAAAUGCACACCCUUCUUCUGAAAUAGGAGAGAACAAGAUGAUAUAUUAUUGCACAGAUGUGAGUCAGCUUUUCAUUGCUAUAACAAAUAUCUGUGGUGACUAACUUAUAAAGAGAAAAGGCUUAUUUUGGCUCACAGUUUUGCAGAUUCCAGUCCCUGGUUGUUUGGGCCUGUGACAUUGCUUUUGGGCCUCUGACAAGGCCGCACAUCAUGGCAGAAGGUGUGUCGUGGAACAAAGCCAUUCACCUCGUGGAGGGGAAGUGAAAGAGAGGGAGGUGAGGGGAUGGGAUCCAAGUAUCCACCUCAAUAACUUUCCCCCAAUGACCAGAAAACCUUCCUCUAGGCCUCCCCUUUUAAAGGUACUGCUACCUCUCAAUAGAACCCACUUGGGGACACAUGGGCCUUAGGGAGCGCUCCAAGUGCUAACUGUAGCAGAUGCCUUCUGAGACAGAGAAAGGAAGCUGCGGAGUCUGUGGCACAGGGCCUGAAUUUUCUCAGAAUAAAGAGUGCUAGAAUGCUCACUCACUGAGAGCAACUGCACACCUGCUGUGUGCAUCAGGUACUAGAAGUAAAAAACUGUCUCUGUCUUCAAGGAUUCAAAGGUAGUGGGGAUACUGUGACAAUGACCAAUAUUUAUGAUAUUGCCCUGAAGGCUAUAGCAGAGUCUUGAGAAUCAUGGAACGGCACUUGCCCCUCCCCUCCCCCACCUCUGAAAUUCCUUGCAUUAAAUGGAACUGUAUCGCAUAUAUGGCCCAAGCUCAAGGGUUCGUGAUUGUCGGGUGGUCACAGGCUGGGCUAGAGUCAGAUGAAAUGACACUGGGCUACUUAAUUUUCACUUUGCUUUGUAGGAAGCAGACUCUACUCCAUACAAGUGAUCUUUUCAACCUGGAGCAGAAAGCGGUGGUUUAUGGAGAAGCCGGAAGGGGUGGGAUAAGGGGAAUUGGACACGGUCUGCAGAAAUGCCAAGUGACACCUGGGAGGAAGAAUAGUUUCUAAAGACUUGUUUGUUUUCUUUGCCCAAAGAAACAUGGUUUAAGAGGCCAACCUCAGUAUUUGUCGCAAUUCACAGAGUUUGGGCUCCCUAAGUGCCUGUAUUUAAUCAAUAUUUUAUGAGUUUGAAUCAUCUCCAAUGAACUUGUACGUUUCCUAAAUGAUGAGACAUUCCUGGACAAUGCUUUCAUCAAUAAAUUAUCAUGAUGGCG
RNAcentral lists this long non-coding RNA (2046 nucleotides) under Marmota monax (woodchuck). Lineage: Eukaryota; Metazoa; Chordata; Mammalia; Rodentia; Sciuridae. The record is from RNAcentral.